Molecule: ribosomal RNA, 253 nt
Filed under: uncultured bacterium
Lineage: Bacteria
Description: partial 16S ribosomal RNA
Rfam family: Bacterial small subunit ribosomal RNA
Source: RNAcentral
UACGUAGGGUGCGAGCGUUGUCCGGAAUUAUUGGGCGUAAAGAGCUUGUAGGCGGUUUGUCGCGUCUGCCGUGAAAACUCGAGGCUCAACCUCGAGACGUCGGCGGAAACCAUCUGGCUAGAGUCCGGAAGAGGAGAGUGGAAUUCCUGGUGUAGCGGUGAAAUGCGUAGAUAUCUGGAAGAACACCAAUGGCGAAGGCAAUGUUCUGGCUCGUUUCUGACGCUCAGGUGCGAAAGCCAGGGGAGCGAACGGG